ACUACUAUAACACAACCAAUAAAUAACAACAGUAAUGUAGGCCAUGAGUGUGUAAAAUACAAAAGCUCAGGGACAUUCAUGGUAAUGUUACAUGUCAAUGACCACAUCAGCCCCGUUAGCUUUGUUUCUCUCUCUGUCUCUCCAAGUUUAUGGCAGGCUGCCCUGCUGCUUGCUCUCCCUCCUUCUGUUCUCCAAACCAUCUGUCCCCCUUUCCAGGCAGCUAUUCUCUGAUACAGAGCAGUUCAUCUGCUUGUUCUUUCCUCCAGCACCCUAAUCCAUCAGUCCAAUAGUGUAUUGUCUCCAAUCCCACAUUCCUAAGGCAAGGCCAGACUUGAACCUUUCAAUCACCCUCCCUUUCGGGGGGCCUUCCAGCAUCGAAACCCAGUAAUAUCACCUUACAUAGGCAUUGUGGAAAAUCUCCUUUGGAUACAGAUAUUCAGAAAAUGAAAACAUACAUAUAUGCCGAUACUGUCCAGCCAUUGGCAACACCUACAGACUGCAUGAAGCCAGCUAGUGAUGAAAUUUUGUGCAAAGAUUUUCACUAGUGAUGCCCAGCUCUAAUUUACACGCACUGGAUGUUCAAUAAUGAGAUUCUGCAUUAAAAGUGACUUAAAAAGGGGGGAAAAGAUGCAAAUACAUUUGCCGAGUAGCUGGGAAAAUGCAAGAAUUCACUUGCUAAAUGUUGUUGCUCCUGGUGCCCCAGAACGCGUAUUGGUAUUUAGAGUCUUGUGCAGCACAGAGCACACCCUUCACACUUAACAAAUAAUAUAUGAAAAAAUAUGGACUAGGGCUCUAACACUUCCAGGGACAUCUCUUAUGCUCUCUGAGGAAAAUACUGCUACGGUAAUGUAACUCAAACUGGAAGAAACUUUAAGUACAACCACUGUACUUAAGCUCACCUUGAAAUUCACCAAUUAUGCUGCCCUAUCUCUUAAACCUUAUGUGAGCUGAAGAGGUACCUGAGUCCCCAGCAUCAUUCUUACAUCACAAAUAAAUACUCAAGCAGGAAAGCCUUCAAAACUUGGCGUGUCUGAGCAACAUACUCUAGGUGUUUGAUUUUUUUCAUUGGGCCUUUAAAUUAGAGACAGCAUUUUUUUUCCUGGUUGGAAGUAAUGUAAUAAAGAAGUGCAUCUUCUUCUUUCAUUUGCAAUUUAUGGACAGUAUCCUCAAGAAACUGGCUUCUGGGCAUGAAAGCUAUUAAAUAUGUAUGUUGUUUGCAAAAGAUAUAGCUUCCACUAUACGUUUUCUGACUUAUUCACAAAAGAUCUUAAUAUAACCUUGCCACAUAAGAGGGCUAAGGGAAGUGUGCAAGUGACCAUACUGUAAAGCUACUGCUAUUGUAAUGAGACUAAGGGAAAUGGUAAAUAGCUUCCAUUUGUACCAGGUAGCAGGAACACUUUGCCUUACUAAUGCUGCAGAAACAGUCACUCAAAUGAAGGAUACAGUGAACCCCAUUCCAUACGAGGUGUCUUGUGGUCUAAGGGUUAAUCAGAUGUUCUCUCCUGCAUUUCAUGCCGAGUGCUAAAAACAUUCAGAAGUUGAAGACGUGGGCUACAUUUACUGCAGAACGUACUGUGCUCACCACAGCUCAAUGUCAAGGGGAGGGCACUGCACUUCCUGCUGGCCUGGAGAAUGGAGCCAGGAAAUGGAGUCUAACAGAUGAUGGAUGGAAAAAGGAUGAUGAGUGAAACCGAGAGCGAGAGAGGCAACAUCUGCAUUGUCACAUUUCACCUGAAUAAGGAAUGCUUGGGGAGUCCAUGGCUUCCCAAAAGAGGUUGACAC
Molecule: long non-coding RNA, 1782 nt
Organism: Caretta caretta (loggerhead turtle)
Lineage: Eukaryota; Metazoa; Chordata; Testudines; Cheloniidae
Source: RefSeq, a predicted model, not a curated record